AACGAACGCUGGCGGCAGGCCUCAAACAUGCAAGUCUAGGGGGUGUAGCAAUACAUCACCGGCGGACGGGUGCGUAACACGUGGGAAUAUACCUUUUGGUUCGGAACAACGCAGGGAAACUUGCGCUAAUACCGAAUGUGCCCUUACGGGGAAAGAUUUAUCGCCAAAGGAUUAGCCCGCGUAGGAUUAGCUAGUUGGUGAGGUAAUGGCUCACCAAGGCUCCGAUCCUUAGCUGUUCUGAGAGGAAGAUCAGCCACACUGGGACUGAGACACGGCCCAGACUCCUACGGGAGGCAGCAGUUGGGAAUCUUGGACAAAUGGGGGAAACCCGUGAUCCAGCCAUGCCGCGUGAGUGAUGAAGGCCU
RNAcentral lists this ribosomal RNA (365 nucleotides) under uncultured bacterium. RNAcentral's name for it is "bacterial SSU rRNA". It matches the Rfam family "Bacterial small subunit ribosomal RNA", at positions 29 to 417 of the family's 1533-position model. The record is from RNAcentral.